AUGCAUGGUGAAUAUUCCCAUAACUGCCACCGUCGAAUCAUUCUCGUCUACUCCUUCCACACUUGGAGGAGUGAUGUGGAGGCAACCACCAUCCUCAACACCUCAGCCUUCACUAUGUCUUCUCGCGCCAACGAAACCGCUCUCUUCUCCGAUGUUUCCUUAUUGUCUACUCUCAACCUCCGGGCUUCUCCAUUCGUCGGUCGUGCCUUUGAAAGAUCCGGAAAAUUCCGAUUGAAGCAAAUGCUAGGAGGCAAUCAUUUUAGGGAAUGGAUCGAAUUUCACAAGAACACUGUUAAAUUUUGCUGCACCCGACUUCAUUCUUCUAGACUCAAUGUGCUUCAGAUGUCUCGUCUUGCAAACUUCAUACUCCAGAAAUUAGGCAUGGACGGGGGGGUGUGUUUUGAAGUUCUAUUGGGAACUGCUUUAUUUAUGACUUGGACAGUCAUCCUCACACAAGGUGCCUUUUAGUAUGGAAUUAGGUUUAGUCCAUUUUAUCAACAAACUGGCCUAUUGGAAUAUUUAACCUAGUAUGAACCCAAUUUCUUGGUGCCUAGUCCCCUUUGCAGGUUUCAAUCUUGUUGAUUUUGUAAAAGUAGUAAGGUUGUAGUUAUUUAUUCUCUCACUGCAAAGUUGCUAGAGAUGAGAGUAUUUUCCUUAUUGUCCUCUUAUGCUAAGUGCAGCAAUGAAUUUGUAGGAUUGCUUUCUUUUUCUGCUCAUGUCAACUUUCAAGUAUGUGCAUUUCAUAUUUAUUCACAUUAGAUAGGUUCCUUUUAAGGUGAGCUGUUAACACCAUUACUUGAGCCUAAUCUUGGAACAACUGCUGCUAUGUGAUAGCUUUUACUUUGUCAUUAUUUUAGUUUUAUCUUUUUGUGUUUCAUACCAGGCUUCUAUAUUUUUUAUUGGGCCUUUCUUCUCCUCCUUAACCUCAAGAGUUUAUAACAGCAUGCAGAAUGAACUAAAGCUACACUUUGUAGAGGGGUAGUUUUAAUUGGAUUAGUGUUAUUAAUAUGGCAAUUUGUUUGGAGCGUUCAUUUCUUGAAACAGGAAUAGCUAUUUUUUGCUGUAUGCCAACAACUUUAUCAAGUGGAGUUGCACCUUGCACAAGUAUGCAUUUUUACUUCUUCUCAUUGGCUUCUUGCCCUUUCAUUUUGACUCAAAGUCAAAUGUGUCUCCUGUAUUCACUACCUAAAAUAUAUAUCCUCAAUAAGGAUGAUUUUUACUGUGUUAUGCAUAAUAUCAGUGAUGGUAUUUCCCGUGUAAUUGCAGAUUGUUGGGGGGAAUUCUGCUCUUGCUCUUGCAGCGACAGUGUUUUCCAAUUUACAGCUGUUCUAACUCUAAGUUUAAAGUUGCUCUUAGAAUGUCAGUGAUUUUUAUUCAGGAAUUCAUUAAUUUUUGCAUUUUAUUAAUUGCACACCAGUAUUUCAAUUUCUCUUGACUUACCAUAUUACAUGCUUGUUUAAUUGGAAUUCUCCUUGUGUAGACAGCCUCCUUUCAUGCAAAUGAACUUCAUUAUUUCUGGAUUAGAUAUACAUGCUGCCUUUACCAUUCAUUUAUAUAUUCCUGUGUUUCAUAUUGUUCUAAUCUGCAAAAUAGUAUGCUCAUGGUGGUUUGAUGCCAUACAUGCCUUUUUGGAUCUCAAGGAUUUUAUCUGAUGGGCUUGGUGUAUCCAUUCCAACUUGAUAGCUAUUUUGGAGUCUAAUUUUCAAUAUUCUUUUUCCUUUGGUUUUGGGAAAAGUUCCUUCCUUGCCUUUGGUAAUUUAAUAAUCCUCAUUUUGGACAUAUUCUCCAUACUUAUAUACUAAGGAUGAAGUAGUUAUAUUGAUUGGUUGUUUAGUAGAUUAUAAAUCUAUUUCUUCUUGAUGAUUAACAAUAUAUGUACCCUUAAGUUUUGGGAAUAACAACUCAGUCUCUCUCUCUCUCUCUCUCUACUAAAUUGCAUAAGACGAUAUGUUUUGAGUUUUUAAGGUUUUUCUUCUCUUUACUUUAAUGAUUGACAUUAUAUACCAUGGCAGUUAGAACAUCAUGUUUAUUUAAACAAGUUCUUUUAUCUUCCUUAGAAUGGCAACGAGCAGACAUUCUAGUUCAUCCUUUUAAGUUAAUCUGUUCUAAAAAAUUGAUUUUUUUUUCUUUUACUUCAUCUCUUUGAAGCAUUUUAUUUGUAAGCUUGGUAUUAUUAAGUAUCAUCAACAAAAAUUGGAAAGUUGUCAAAUAGAAUACGAAAGUUUUAGAUAAAUGAUAUUUUAUUGAAGUUUUUCCGACGAAACUGUUUAGGUCUUCCAAACUAUGAAAAAGUGGUUCAAUAGGGGCACGAAAGUCUAUUUGAUUAUUUUUAUCAACUCUGAACUCUCAUUUUGACUUCAAAACUUAUUAAACUAUGUACUCUCAAUUGGACUUUAAAACUCUUAAGCAAUGUAUUUAGAGGUAAACAAAUAUUGUUGAAACUUCUAAAGGAGAUGGAGAUGGAAUGGAAGUAUUUUGACCAACAUAUUGGUAGUAUUUCCAUACAAGAUUGAUGAUUCCAAGCAUUCUGUAAUAACCAAGCUAUUACUGUAGCAAUGUUAGAAACUGCAUCAUGUCUUUUGCAGUUCUGCUAUUGUCUGAGCCAUUUGCAAUACAGGCUGUGAUUACAAAUUGCAGAAAGGCUCUUACUUUCCAUUAGUUCAAGAACGAAUUUCAUAAAAGUUUGAGUAGACAUGCAGGGGAACCACAACAGUGGAAUUAUUUCUCUCAAUCUUAUUGGUAUGCAAGAUGAUGUUCAAUGAUUAGAUGUAGAUAGUGGAUGAUUUGUGAUGUCUAUCAUAUUCUUGAGAGCAGAUGCUUUAUGAUUUCUAGUGGUUCUUCCUUUUGUUUAUAGUUAACUGGAUUAUAGUGAUGUUGAAAAAGUUCUAAUAAGAUAUCUGUUGGAAAUUACCAUUUCAUCAUUGUUAUCCGUGUCUUCUUUCUUUCAUUUUUUUUGAAGGAUUUUUAUGCGCUCCUUCAGUAACCCUUCCUUUUUUUUUCUCUGUGUAAUUAGUUGGAUUCUCUUCCUUGCUCCCUUAUAAGUAUGCCUUUCAUAUUUAAUAAUAGAAGAUAGGCCACCUUCCUCAAUUGAAAAUUAAAUAAAUAAAUAAAUUAAAUGAAUGAAAAGAACCAGAGAAUACCCACCUGCUUUGUUAGAUAGUUAACUGAAGCUGCAUCUGCUCAUAGUUGUGAAAGGUGAGCCUCAUGGGUGUGGAACAUGCACUUACACUGUAAGUGUACAUAUGGCAUUCUUGACCUAAAGGUUAAGGAUUUUUUUUUUCCUUUUCCUAAAUAAUAAUGAAUUUUUUUUCUAUUUAUCUGAUGUGGCAUGAUCCAACGACAAAUGUAUGUUCAGGUAAUACAUGGAAUAGUUAUAAUUAUUUAUGCACUUCAAAUGUUUGUAUUUGAUUAAAACUGUCCUAUACGUUUGGCACAUAGGUUGAUAAAAAUUAAACAAUUCCUCAGUAGCUAGUACAACCCUCUUUAGCCUAGUAAGUUUUUUAUCCUUCUGUGGUUCUUCACAUACUAAUAUUUGAAAGAAAAAUGCAAUAGCUGUUUAUCCUCUUUGUUUGCGUAAAUUCAAAUGCAGAAUAUAUUACCCUAUUAAUAUGUUAGUUGAGAUUAGUUAGUAACAUGUCAGACCUUCGUAUUGUUUAGUUUUUGGCAACUGUAAUUUAUGCUCAUUGAACAGUAUCGGUUAUUUAUAUGAUAUGGGUAGCUUGUGUUUGUGGGACCCAUAUUGAGAUCAUAAUUUAAUUUGUAUUAAAAAAAAUAGUACUGCAAAUGUAUUGUUGGAUUUCUUACUAGACUAAAUUAAAGGAUACUUUAACUCUUCUUUUUUUUCCUGUAAUUAUUCAUUCUCUUCAUUGUUCCACACCCAAUGGAUUCAAGUUAGUAUACCUAUACUCUUGAUCUCAGUGGUUAAGACACAAGUGUCCAUUGAAGCUACCUCAAGCCAGGGGUAAGAGGGAUCAAUUGAACCCUCUUUUAACUAAAAAAUUCUUACAUAUGUACACAUACUUGUUUAAAUGGACCCCUGAUAGAUUUAGUUUUGAACCCUCUUUUUAAUAAAAUUUAGAAUCAAAUAAGGAUAAUAGUAUUUCUCAACUUAUUUAAUGGUUAAUAUUAAUUGGUGAAUGGCUUUAGUUAUGUGUAGAGAAUGCAUUUAAUAGCAUAAUAAUGGAUAAGGUUGAUAGUUUCUAGUAUAUUAGAACUCAUCGAGAUAAUUGUAAAUUAUUAACAUUUUUUACGGUAUUUUAUUAUUUACUUUUUGUAUGUUGACUCCCCUGCCACUGAUUGAAGCUAAUGGGGUGAGAAACUGGGAAUGUAAGUUAUUAUCAUCUGAAGUUUUCUAUUUUAUGUGCCUUGCUUUCAAGAAAAUUUCUGAAAAGAUAUAUUAAAUCUUCUAUAGUUCGUGCAACUUCCAUGGUUAGCCUUUAGGAAGAUGGCAUUUUGCACUCCUAAUUAGUUCUAUGUUUCCCAAUCAUGUGAUUCUGAAGCUAAUGGCAUGGUACCAUGUACACAUGCUGAUUGGCAUAACCUAAAAUACUUUCUUUGUUUUGCUUAGAUAUGUCCAAUAGGGGAGAGCCAACGACAUUAAACUCUGGAUAAGGGAAAUAAAACUGCAUAGGUCCAUGCACUAUUGCGAUGGAUAAGAAUGGAUGUCUACUUGUUUGUCUAAACAAACAAUAGUCUGCUCGUUAUUCUUACUAAGCUGUAUUCUUGUCAUAUCAGGUUAAGGCAGAAGAGUGAUUUGAGAUGUUAGAAUCAGUGGGAAUGCAGCCGUUACAAAGUUGCUGCAUUUAAUUUAAGGACUCAUUUUAUGCAGAGACAAGCUUCUGAAUAGAUAGAAAGAGAUGUAAAAAUGCAUGCGAAAAAUGGAGAAACACAGUGCUGCAAUGAUAUUCAGGCUAGAUGUAAACUACACUUAAAAGACAAUAUUUUUUAGUGAAUUUAUUAACAUGUACCAAUAUCAAUACACUUUGUCAACACAAAAAAUAUGCUUGGGAAGCUAAUGCUUUUGCUGAUUUUCUCGUUUUAUUGUGUUCUAUUCUUUGUCCUUCCCAGAUUCUGUGAUAAUGCAGACGGGAGGGACCUAUUUUCUAACAAUAUAAUGAUUCAGGCCAAUUCAGGGUUGAAUUUCUCGUUUUUGAAGGACAUCUCUCCCAACCCAAACAAUGGGUUCUUUAGUUCUUUAUGGUGUCUACCUCAACCAACCUUCUCUUUAGGUCAUUUUGUUGAGAUUAAGGCCCCUGGCAAUUUAAAGAGAACUGCUGUAGAUCAAAGCUCCAAAUAAAGAGAAGGCUUUAUGCGUGGAGUGUAGUGCAGAAUAUUCACCAUCACCUCAUGCCAUUUGGUAUGGUUGUUGUUGACUUGGGAGGGGCUUCUAGAAUAUAAUAUUAGGUGAAGAAAAAUGGAAAAUGCGAGAUAUGGUGCACCUACAAUAGAAAAAUGUGAGAUGUGAUCUACAAGUUUCUAGGAAUAUAAUGAUGGGGCUUUUAUAUAGUUAAUGUAAUUAAUGUCAGGAGAAUUUUGGCAAAAUUUUGUGCUUUCUUUCCUCAUAGUGUUCAGUCUUAGGAGUCCUCUCAGUGUUAUAUAUAAUAUAUAUAUAUAUAUAUAUAUAUAUAUAUAUAUCUUCAUUAUUGCUCUAGAUCAAUAGAAUCAGGAGUUGGAGGUAGAAUUAUUAGCUGCUCUUUUUUCUUAAAGAAAAUUAUUUUAUCUCUUCUUCCUUUUCAAGUGAUAAGGAUAGUGUUUCUUUUUUACCUGAAAUAAGACAAUAAGAUACAUCUUAAUCAUGUUAAUUACAACUGAAGCUAGCUGAUGCCAAAAUGCAUUUGCAAAUGCAAACAAAUGAAUAUAACAAUCCAAACUAACAAUAUAUUUGGAGUUGAACUGAGAUCUCUUAGUCCCAAGGCUUCUGUCUUGCACAAUUUUACUGUUGGAGUGAAUAAUAUUUAUAUAUUUCAUUCCCUUUGUUUAUAUGUUAUUUACUUUACAGAAUUUUUAAAUGUUUCAUUGGCAUUCUUUAUUUAUCCAUUCACUUUGUGUAACCAUUACACCACUGUCCACACUAAUCACUCACAACACCAAGUAUUUUUGCUAAUAUCUUGAAGACCACAUAGGAUGAUUUGACUCCUUGAUGGAGAAUAAAGAACCCUGAUGACUUGAGAGGAGGAUAAGUUGAAUAUGGAUUAAAUACUUCAAGAUUAGUAUUGGGACAUGUGUAAUUGCUAUACUUUUAUUCCAUAUGUAAUCCUGUUUGCUUCUUUUAUGGUACGAGGUUAUACAUGACUCCUAGUUCUUUAAGAUGCAAUUAAUUCAUCUCUCACAAAGUGGCCACAAAGUUGUGAGAGCAUCUCUGUGGAUAUUUAAUAAAGAUUUGAAGGUGGGUCCAAAUUCCAAGCACAUACCUAGUGAAGCUGGUGAGCAUGGUUCCAAUUUUCCAAGUUUUGUUAUUAUUAUUUUUAUUAUUACUGAAGAUAUGGAGAUGGGAGAUUAACUGAAUGCACUUAUUGUUAUCGUUGGAUUAACUAGUAAGUGCAGAAUGAUUCCAAGUUCAAGCGGGUUAUAUUUUACUGAUUUAUUGCACUGUUUGCCUAUUUCUAGACAUAUGCAUUAUUUCCAAGGAUACAUGCAACAAGUCAAAAAGACUGUGGCAAAGGCAGGCAAAAGGCUGUUAUAGGGAUACAUGUCUGCAGCAGAAAAAGGAAGGUAGGUUGCCCUCACAGACCCAAGAGGCUGCUAUACAUAUAUAGAACGUCCUAAUAUACCAAAGUUGAUGGACUUUGGAUCAGUAGAUAGUGAAAUUUGGCUGGGAUUCAAAUGGCCAAUAAUGUUUUGCUUGGAAUGAGUUUGGCUACUAGGAAGUUUGAUAGGCCACCUCAGCUAGUUGAGUAAAGAGAGAUUAGCUAAUAUAGGUAGGCUUGAUUCUUGCAGUGUCCAAUAUUGUGCACAUGCUAUGAGAUUUCUGGAUGCUACUUGAAUGCAGCACCAGACUUUAGAUGGAUUCCAAUCAUCUCAGUACAUUACCAGUGUGCAACUUGAA
This is an RNA transcript of Manihot esculenta (cassava), 7045 nucleotides long. RefSeq lists it as uncharacterized. The record is from RefSeq and is a predicted model, not a curated record. NCBI's taxonomy places the organism in Eukaryota, Viridiplantae, Streptophyta, Magnoliopsida, Malpighiales, Euphorbiaceae. The transcript has 3 exons.